Molecule: ribosomal RNA, 3933 nt
Filed under: Triticum aestivum (bread wheat)
Lineage: Eukaryota; Viridiplantae; Streptophyta; Magnoliopsida; Poales; Poaceae
Description: partial small subunit ribosomal RNA
Source: RNAcentral
AUGGGCAAGAAGAGGAAACAAGAUCAAUGGAAAGAUGACUCCAGCCCUUCUGAUGGCAAGCGCCAUAGGUCUUGCCACUGGGAGAAUGGGGAGACGAGCAGGCCAAAUGAUGGGAUGUCGCCUCGGGAGGGGUCUUCAGAUAUCGUUCGCGCCGUUAUCGAAUUGAAAGACUUCAUGCAGAUUCAACUGUGCACGGAGGAAAAAUUCAAAAGGAAUAUCCAAAAGCUUAAGGAAAAGAGGAAAAAAGACAAGAUCAAGCAUAAGGAAGAUCUCAGAGUACUCAAGGAAGACCUCAUCAGAAUAUUCAAGGAAGAUCACGAAGUGCUCAAAUCAAAAAUCCAAGAAAUGCAAAAAGAAGCAUGUAUUGAAGUAAAUCAUUACAAGGCAUCUCCAUCUCAGAGAUCACAACUAUGCCAACCAACAAGAUUUCGACUAAAAAUUGAAAAUUGUGUGAAGAAAAUAAUAUACAGAAAGGGAAUUGUAGAGACCAAGGAUGGUGGAGAUCACAUAAAAGUUGUCAUGUAUGAUGGUGACAAUCGAAUUGCAUCUGACCAUCCUCUUGCUUCUGUAAGAGUUGAGCUAGUUGUCAUUAAAGGAGGGUUCAAUGAAUCUAAACCUACACCAGUUUCUUGGUCUAAAGAGGAGUUUGAGAAAAACAUUGUACAACCGCCAGAAGGAAUCAAAAGGGCAAGCCCUAAACGGAAACUGUCAGCAAUCUUCUCAACAAAUUCCAACGCCAACCUUGUGGCAGCCAACCAACAACCAAUCAACACAACAUGGGCAAGCCCUAAACGGCAACUGUCAGCAAUCUUCUCAACAAAUUCCAAUGCCAACCUUGUGGCAGCCAACCAACAACCACUCAACACAACAUGUUUAUUGCCUCGAAAUUUCCCAGACCGUGGGAAGCAUUCAGGAUUUCCGGCUGAUGUUACUGCAGAGGAUAAUGGACUGAGUUAUCCACCAGCUACCAUGCCACCUGUUCAGGGAAAUGGGCAAGCCCUAAAUGGCAACAGUCAGCAAUCUUCUCAGCAAUUUCCAACGCCAAUCUUGUGGCAGCCAACCAGCAACCACUCAAUGCAACAUGGCGAAGGAUGUAGUCUGCCACCACCUAGCAUGUCGAAUCCAUUGCCAGUAGCAGAUGAUAAUACUUCAUAUUCAGUUCCAGGAUAUUGUCCAUCUUUACCUGCUUUUGGACAAGACCACUGCACUAGCUUACCUAAUGCAAGUUCUAAACUUGAAUUUCGGAACUUCCCAGUGUACGUGUCGUUUAAUGAUAUUCCCCAGGGUGAAAAUCUAGAUUCUGACCCUGAGUGGUUGGCUCUAGUGGUAGCGGCGAUUGAGCGUCGCUCCCUUAUUGAAGGCGUUACUCUUGAAGAACCUCGUCAUUCAUGUGGUGUCAUGACAUGGUUGGGGAAUUCCAUUCUUGGAUGGGAAGAAUUUGUUGAAGAUGUAAGUCAUUCAAAUGUCCGGCCACCAGUUGAAGAGCAUUAUGUAGAUGCGUCAUUUAGAUGUAAUCAAGUGCUACUUCAAUGGGAUGAGCCUCAUAUGGAGGUCAAGAAACGUUGGAACUUUCUUGAUCAGCUCAUGCCGCUGUAUAGCACACAAUCAGGGUUUUAUAAAGAAGAUUUCCCCAGUACGAGCCUCAUGGAUAAAACCCAUAAGUUACUGGCCAGUAUUUCAUCAGACGAUUCUAUUUGGAAGAUAAUUACCAGUGUUACGAGUCGAGCCACACAAACUCCUCAGAGGAGAGGUGUUCUCAUUCGGCCCAUUGAGCCAUAUGAUUCAGAUGAUGGGCCACCAAUUAAGAAGCAAAGGACCAAAUAUCAAUUGCGAUUUGUCAAUACGGUGUGCAAUGACUACUUCACACGGGAGAAUAUCAAAUCAGAGGAUGGAAAUCUCUUAAAGGUGGCUUUGUAUGAUGAGAACAAUCUGGUUGUCACAUCUGGUCCGCUGUCUGCAGCUUCUGUGGAGAUCGUACUACUUCAUGGUGAUUUCAAUGCUGAAGGUCAAGAUUAUUGGACAUCAGAGGAGUUUAGUGACUGCAUAGUGCAUCCACAAUCUGUAAAAGAACCACCAGCCUUGGGAGGUGAUCGUGUCUUGACACUGAUUCAUGGAGAAGCAGACCUUGGUAAUGUCUAUUUCCGAACUUCCUCCUUCCAUGCUAGAACUGAAAAGUUCAAGAUGGGUGUUGAGAUAAAAAAUGUUAAAGUGAGCACGGAGGAAAAAUUCAAAACAAAAAUUGGAAAGCUUAAGGUAAAAAGGGAAAAAGAUAAGAACAAAUAUGAGGAAGAUCUCAGAAUACUCAUGGAAGACCACGAAGAGUUCACAUUAAAAACCGAAGAUAUGCGAAAGGAAGGGCGUGCUGAGUUAAAUCAUUACAUUCUAUCUCCAUCUCAGAGAUCACAAGUAAUCCAAUCAACAAGAUUUCGUCUAGUAAUUGAAAAUAGUGUGAGCAGAACAAUUUACAAAAAUAGUACUAUAAAGACCGAGGAUGGCGGAGAUCACAUAAAAGUUGUCAUGUACGAUGGUGGCAAGCCAAUUGCAUUUGACCACCCUCUUGCUUCGGUAACAGUUGACCUAGUUGUCAUUGAAGGAGGGUUCGAUGAAAAGCGAGAUUCGUGGUCUAAAGAGGAGUUUGAGGAAAGCAUAAUAGAACCAAGAAAAGGAAUCAAAAGGCUAGUGAAAAACGGUACAUUUGAUUUGAUUGAUGGGAGGUGUGAUCAUCAUGGUGCCAUUAUUAUGGACAAUUCACAACGAAUGGAAGUUAAACUUGGAGUAAGGAUCACAGUGCAUACAGACAUAAGAGUUAUUGAAGGGGUAUCAAAUCCUUUCAAAAUGAAGGAAGUCCGGACAAAAGUACGUGGAAAGAGUACUAUUCCAUACAAGGACGAUGCGGUACAUCGACUGAAGAAAAUUGCCCUGAAGGGAAAAUAUUGCAACAAUCUUGAGGAUAAAUAUAUUACCAAAGUGAAGCACUUGUUGCGCCAUUAUCACAGAGAUAAAUUUGGUCUCCAAAAGCUUGCUGGCAUGAAGAAAGAGGAUUGGAAUACCAUGAUUAAUCAUGCCACCAUGUGUGUUCCUGGGGAUGAGAUCUAUUCCUAUUGGGUUCAAGAGGAAAACUGUGAAGUCUUAUUCAAUGAUUUCUAUGAUCUUGUUGGUAAGAUGACUGAUGACUAUGUUCCAUACAGUGUCAAUGACGUCGAUCAGUUUCCGCGGCAUAAAGUGAACAACUGGAAAAUGUCUGCAUAUAAGAAGUUUGACGAGCGGGAGAGCUCAGGGGGUCUUAUCCCUGAUUACUUCAUGAACAAUGGCCGCCCAGUCCAUGCAGUGCCCCUGAACAAUGAUGCAGGUCCUUCUGUACAAGCUACUAGUACAUGGCAAUAUCUUAAUGACAUGGCUGCACAACACGGCCUUGACAGAAAUGCAGUCUACCAAUUCCCAGAUGCUAGGAGUCCGGCUUCCGAAAAUACAAAUCAAAACAAUGUGAUUCCUCCAACGACAACAGCAGAUGGGAGGCCACCAAACAGGGCUGUUUAUUUUAGUUCUAUUCUGAUCUGCAUUCAUGGACGUUUCUGUGCUCUCAAGUGCAAUGGAAGUGCUGUUCUGGCGCUCGGUGUUGGCUCCAGUCAGCUCAUUCUUCAUGUUCCUGAUCUUCAACGUAUCCCUGGCCCUCUCGAGGUCCCUGAUCUUCUCCUCGAUCAGAUGCAGAUCCUCGUGGUCAGACUGAACUCCUGCAUGGACACCCAGGUGAAGCUCGCAGUGGUGGUCAAGGUGAUGGGCCGCACCGGGUCGAGGGGUCAGGUGACCCAGGUGAGAGUCAAGUUCCUGGAUGACCAGAACCGUCUCAUCAUGAGGAACGUCAAGGGGCCUGUCCGGGAGGGCGACAUCCUCACCCUGCUCGAGUCUGAGCGGGAGGCCAGGAGGCUGCGCUAA